AGUUUUGAUGGUUUGUUCUCAGCUUCUGAAAGACUCUGCUGUGCAAAUCCAUGCAAAGCUCU
MicroRNA precursor from Astatotilapia calliptera (eastern happy), 62 nucleotides. The record is from Ensembl. NCBI's taxonomy places the organism in Eukaryota, Metazoa, Chordata, Actinopteri, Cichliformes, Cichlidae.